CGGUGGAGCAUGUGGUUUAAUUCGAUGAUACGCGAGGAACCUUACCUGGGCUCAAAUGUAUGUUGACGUAUUCUGAAAGGGAUACUUCUUCGGACAAUAUACAAGGUGCUGCAUGGUUGUCGUCAGCUCGUGCCGUGAGGUGUCGGGUUAAGUCCCAUAACGAGCGCAACCCUACCUUUAGUUGCCAUCAGGUUAAGCUGGGGACUCUAAAGGAACUGCCUACGCAAGUAGUGAGGAAGGCGGGGAUGACGUCAAAUCAGCACGGCCCUUACGUCCAGGGCUACACACGUGCUACAAUGGCCGAUACAGAGGGCAGCUACCUGGUGACAGGAUGCAAAUCUCCAAAGUCGGUCUCAGUUCGGAUCGGAGUCUGCAACCCGACUCCGUGAAGUUGGAUUCGCUAGUAAUCGCGCAUCAGCCAUGGCGCGGUGAAUACGUUCCCGGGCCUU
RNAcentral lists this ribosomal RNA (449 nucleotides) under uncultured Sphingobacteriales bacterium. Its description in RNAcentral is "bacterial SSU rRNA". It matches the Rfam family "Bacterial small subunit ribosomal RNA", at positions 930 to 1382 of the family's 1533-position model. The record is from RNAcentral. Lineage: Bacteria; Pseudomonadati; Bacteroidota; Sphingobacteriia; Sphingobacteriales.